This 467-nucleotide ribosomal RNA is filed under the name uncultured Enterobacteriaceae bacterium. RNAcentral's name for it is "bacterial SSU rRNA". It matches the Rfam family "Bacterial small subunit ribosomal RNA", at positions 916 to 1381 of the family's 1533-position model. Lineage: Bacteria; Pseudomonadati; Pseudomonadota; Gammaproteobacteria; Enterobacterales; Enterobacteriaceae. The record is from RNAcentral.
ACGGGGCCCGCACAAGCGGUGGAGCAUGUGGUUUAAUUCGGUGCAACGCGAAGAACCUUACCUGGUCUUGACAUCCACAGAACUUUCCAGAGAUGGAUUGGUGCCUUCGGGAACUGUGAGACAGGUGCUGCAUGGCUGUCGUCAGCUCGUGUUGUGAAAUGUUGGGUUAAGUCCCGCAACGAGCGCAACCCUUAUCCUUUGUUGCCAGCGGUCCGGCCGGGAACUCAAAGGAGACUGCCAGUGAUAAACUGGAGGAAGGUGGGAUGACGUCAAGUCAUCAUGGCCCUUACGACCAGGGCUACACACGUGCUACAAUGGCGCAUACAAAGAGAAGCGACCUCGCGAGAGCAAGCGGACCUCAUAAAGUGCGUCGUAGUCCGGAUUGGAGUCUGCAACUCGACUCCAUGAAGUCGGAAUCGCUAGUAAUCGUGGAUCAGAAUGCCACGGUGAAUACGUUCCCGGGCCUU